GGGAGCUUGCUCCUGGAUUCAGCGGCGGACGGGUGAGUAAUGCCUAGGAAUCUGCCUGGUAGUGGGGGAUAACGUCCGGAAACGGGCGCUAAUACCGCAUACGUCCUGAGGGAGAAAGUGGGGGAUCUUCGGACCUCACGCUAUCAGAUGAGCCUAGGUCGGAUUAGCUAGUUGGUGGGGUAAAGGCCUACCAAGGCGACGAUCCGUAACUGGUCUGAGAGGAUGAUCAGUCACACUGGAACUGAGACACGGUCCAGACUCCUACGGGAGGCAGCAGUGGGGAAUAUUGGACAAUGGGCGAAAGCCUGAUCCAGCCAUGCCGCGUGUGUGAAGAAGGUCUUCGGAUUGUAAAGCACUUUAAGUUGGGAGGAAGGGCAGUAAGUUAAUACCUUGCUGUUUUGACGUUACCAACAGAAUAAGCACCGGCUAACUUCGUGCCAGCAGCCGCGGUAAUACGAAGGGUGCAAGCGUUAAUCGGAAUUACUGGGCGUAAAGCGCGCGUAGGUGGUUCAGCAAGUUGGAUGUGAAAUCCCCGGGCUCAACCUGGGAACUGCAUCCAAAACUACUGAGCUAGAGUACGGUAGAGGGUGGUGGAAUUUCCUGUGUAGCGGUGAAAUGCGUAGGUAUAGGAAGGAACACCAGUGGCGAAGGCGACCACCUGGACUGAUACUGACACUGAGGUGCGAAAGCGUGGGGAGCAAACAGGAUUAGAUACCCUG
RNAcentral lists this ribosomal RNA (719 nucleotides) under uncultured Pseudomonas sp. RNAcentral's name for it is "bacterial SSU rRNA". It matches the Rfam family "Bacterial small subunit ribosomal RNA", at positions 74 to 789 of the family's 1533-position model. The record is from RNAcentral. Lineage: Bacteria; Pseudomonadati; Pseudomonadota; Gammaproteobacteria; Pseudomonadales; Pseudomonadaceae.